ACCCAUGCAUUUUGACCAACUCCUCCAACCACUGGAUGACAUCGCCUCUAAGCUCAGAAAGCUGCAACUUCUGCUUACACAAAUAAUGGGCAUUUAAUGUGGCACUGGAUCCAAUACUCAGCUUAUAUAGCUCCAGUCCCGUGAAUGCCUCCUGCUUCCUACUUUAUUUGCUGUCCUUAGUCUAAGAACAUGUCAACUUUGAUGUUAUCACACAAAUUAUAGGACAUGACGCACAGCCUUCUUGCCUGUUCAAUAACAGUGCAGAGAUCUACCUGUCUUGCUGCUGCCCAAGACCACGCUUCUGUCUCUACAGAAACUAAAGCUCAGGAGACUGACUUGCUGAAGGUCCCACAAUUAGUAAGUGAUAAAGCUGGGGACCAUGAAGCCAUUGUAAUUCAGAAUGUAUAAAAUGUUGCAACUGCUGCAAGAUUGUAUUUCAAUAUGUGGAUUUUUUUUCUUUCUUUCUUUGGAGACAGGGUCUUGCUCUGUUACCUAGGCUGGAGUGCAGUAGCAUGAUCAUGGCUCACUGCAACCUCAACCACCUCGGCUCAGCAAUCCUCCCACCUCAACCUCCCAAGUGGCUGGAACCACAGCUUCUUCAUACGGCAAAUGAAAUGGCUUCCCGGUGAAGAUUGAACCCAGGAGGCAGAGGUUGCAGUGUGGUGAGAUUGUGCCACUGCACUCCAGCUUGGGCGACAGAGCAAGACUUCGUCUCCAAAAACAAAAAAAAAAAAUUUGGAAAGAACUUAGAGGGGACGGUUUAUCUCUGCUCAACUCAGUGUCAGCUGGGGUGGUUCAAAGAUUGGGGGCUAGAAUAAACUCAAAACUCACUCAUUCACGUGUCCGGUUGGCUGAUGUUGGCUGUUAGCUGGGAGCUCAUGCAGAACUGUUGUCCAAAUAUCAACACGUGACUUUUCCAUGUUGAUCGGGUUUGGCUCUUUGUCCCCAUCCAAACCUCAUGUCAAAUUGUAAUCCCUAUGUGUGGAGGGAGGGACCUGUAAUCCCCAUAUGUUGAGGGAGGGAGGUGAUUGGCUCAUGGGGUUGGUUUCCCCCCAUGCUGUUCUCAUGAUAGUGAGUGAGUUCUCAUGAGAUCUGAUGGUUUUAUAAGGGGCUUUUCUCCACUUUGCUUGGCACUUCUCUCUCCUGCUGCCAUGUGAGGAAGGACGCGUUUGCUUCCCCUUCUGCCAUGAUUGCAAGUUUCCUGAGGCCUCCCCAGUCGUGUGAAUUGUGAGUCAAUUAAAACUCUUUCCUUUAUAAAUUACCCACUCUCAAAUAUUUAUUUAUAGCAUGUGAAAAUGGAUUAAUACACAUGUAGUGUUUGAUUUCCCCAUCAAAUGACAAGGUGGUUGGGUUCCCAGAGCAAGCAUUGCACACGAGAGAGAGAGAGAGAGAGAGAGAGAGAGAGACAGCGAGCUAGGAAACCUAGUCCCUGAAGUCGCAUAGUAUUGUCUGCUGCCUUCCUGUUUUGUUUGUUUGUUUUAGAGAUGGGGUCUUGCUCUGUUGCAUAGGCUAGAGUGCAAGUGGCAGAUCAUAGCUCAGUGCAGUCUUGAAUUCCUGGGCUCAAGCGAUCUUCCCACCUAAGCCUCCUGAGUAGCUGGGACUACAGGUGUGUGCCACCAUGCCUGGUUAAUUUUUAUUUUAUUAGUAGAGAUGGGGUCUUGCUAUGUUGGCCAAGCUUGUCUUGAACUCCUGGCUUCAAACUUGGCCUCCCAAAGCGCUGGGAUUACAGACACGAGCCACUGCACCAGUCUUGUCUUCGAUUCUUUACAA
This 1770-nucleotide long non-coding RNA is filed under the name Homo sapiens (human). Its description in RNAcentral is "HSALNT0043064". The record is from RNAcentral. Lineage: Eukaryota; Metazoa; Chordata; Mammalia; Primates; Hominidae.